Molecule: ribosomal RNA, 446 nt
Filed under: uncultured bacterium
Lineage: Bacteria
Description: partial 16S ribosomal RNA
Rfam family: Bacterial small subunit ribosomal RNA
Source: RNAcentral
CCUACGGGUGGCAGCAGUCGAGAAUCAUUCACAAUGGGGGAAACCCUGAUGGUGCGACGCCGCGUGGGGGAAUGAAGGUCUUCGGAUUGUAAACCCCUGUGAUGUGGGAGCAAAUUAAAAAGAUAGAACCACAAGCAGAAGAGACGGCUAACUCGGUGCCAGCAGCCGCGGUAAUACAGAGGUCGCAAGCGUGGUUCGGAAUCACUGGGCGUAAAGCGUGCGGAGGCGGAUUCGUAAGUCGUGUGUGAAUGGCGCUGGCUCAACCCGCGAACGGCAAAUGAUACUGCGAGACUAGAGUAAUGGAGGGGGAACUGGAAUUCUCGGUGUAGCAGUAAAAUGCGUAGAGAUCGAGAGGAACACUCGUGGCGAAGGCGAGUUCCUGGACAGUAACUGACGCUGAGGCACGAAGGCCAGGGGAGCGAAAGGGAUUAGAUACCCCGGUAGUC